Cydia splendana is the source of this 219-nucleotide long non-coding RNA. RefSeq lists it as uncharacterized. The record is from RefSeq and is a predicted model, not a curated record. NCBI's taxonomy places the organism in Eukaryota, Metazoa, Arthropoda, Insecta, Lepidoptera, Tortricidae. The transcript has 3 exons.
AGCUUAUCUGUGAAGGAAAACAUCGUGAUGAAAUCUACGUACAUCUGCGAAGAAAUUCAAAGGUGUAUGUGAAGCUUUGUUUUAAUACCACGUCGGUGGUAAACAAGCAUACGGCCCGCCUGAUGGUAAGCAGUCUCCGUAGCCUAUGUACGCCUGCAACUCCAGCUCCGAGAGCUCUAACACUCUCCACCCUCGUUGAGCUCUGGCAACCUUACUCAC